Molecule: transfer RNA, 64 nt
Filed under: Gabronthus thermarum
Lineage: Eukaryota; Metazoa; Arthropoda; Insecta; Coleoptera; Staphylinidae
Description: tRNA-Asp
Source: RNAcentral
AAAAACUUAGUUAAUUUAUAACAUUAGAGUGUCAAUCUAAAAUUAUUUCACGAAAUAGUUUUUA